CUCUGUUUCUCAAUUGUUUUGUUGAAAAUAAUUUGAGAGGUUCUUAAAUACUUUCGAAAAAAAGACAACGAAAAAACUACAAAUUGUGCAAGAGAUGCUAAUUAGGGAAAUAAACUGACCCAUAUAUAAAUACGGCAUAUGAGGACAAUUCCUGGUGAUAAUGCUGAACACAACCGACAUCAGGUAUUUGGACAUAGCAAUUUUAGACGGAUCAUUUAGCAGAUUUGAAAAGAUUUCCCUUUUUAUAAAAGUUUUUUUCUUUACUAAAUAUAAAAACUAAACAAUUAAAUAAAUAAAUUUUAAUGACUUA
Long non-coding RNA from Stomoxys calcitrans (stable fly), 310 nucleotides. RefSeq lists it as uncharacterized. The transcript has 2 exons. The record is from RefSeq and is a predicted model, not a curated record. NCBI's taxonomy places the organism in Eukaryota, Metazoa, Arthropoda, Insecta, Diptera, Muscidae.